CAGCAGCCGCGGGAAUACGGAGGGGGCAAGCGUUAUCCGGAAUUAUUGGGCGUAAAGGGUACGUAGGUGGCCCUUUAAGCGUAGGGUAUAAGGCAAUGGCUCAACCAUUGUUCGCCCUAUGAACUGGAAGGCUUGAGUGCAGGAGAGGAAAGCGGAAUUCCUAGUGUAGCGGUGGAAUGCAUAGAUAUUAGGAGGAACAUCAGCGGCGAAGGCGGCUUUCUGGACUAAAACUGACGCUGAGGCACGAAAGUGUGGGUAGCAAACAGGAUUAGAUACCCCAGUAGUCCCUGUCUCUUAUACA
RNAcentral lists this ribosomal RNA (301 nucleotides) under uncultured bacterium. RNAcentral's name for it is "partial 16S ribosomal RNA". It matches the Rfam family "Bacterial small subunit ribosomal RNA", at positions 509 to 808 of the family's 1533-position model. The record is from RNAcentral.